This 497-nucleotide ribosomal RNA is filed under the name uncultured bacterium. RNAcentral's name for it is "partial 16S ribosomal RNA". It matches the Rfam family "Bacterial small subunit ribosomal RNA", at positions 28 to 507 of the family's 1533-position model. The record is from RNAcentral.
GAUGAACGCUGGCGGCGUGCCUAAUACAUGCAAGUCGAGCGAACGGACGAGAAGCUUGCUUCUCUGAUGUUAACGGCGGACGGGUGAGUAACACGUGGAUAACCUCCCUAUAAGACUGGGAUAACUUCGGGAAACCGGAGCUAAUACCAGAUAAUAUUUUGAACCGAAUGGUUCAAAAGUGAAAGACGGUCUUGCUGUCACUUAUAGAUGGAACCCCGCUGCAUAAGCUAGUUGUUAAGGUAACGGCAUACCAAGGCAACGAUGCAUACCGGACCUGAGAGGGUGAUCGGCUACACUGUAUGUGAGACACGUCCCAGACUCCGACGGGAGGAAGCAGUAGGGAAUCUUACGCAAGGCGCGAAAGCCUGACGGUACAACGCCGCGUGAAUGAUGAAGUUCUUCGGAUCGUAAAGCGCUGUAAUUAGUGAAGAACAUAUGUGUAAGUAACUGUGCAGAUCAUGACGGUACCUAAACAGAAAGCCACGGCUAACUCCGUG